CAGCAGCCGCGGUAAAACGGAGGGGGCUAGCGUUGUUCGGAAUUACUGGGCGUAAAGCGCACGUAGGCGGCUUGGUAAGUUAGAGGUGAAAGCCUGGAGCUCAACUCCAGAAUUGCCUUUAAGACUGCCGAGCUAGCGGUGAGAGAGGUAAGUGGAAUUCCGAGUGUAGAGGUGAAAUUCGUAGAUAUUCGGAAGAACACCAGUGGCGAAGGCGGCUUACUGGCUCAUACUGGACGCUGAGGUGCGAAAGCGUGGGGAGCAAACAGGAUUAGAUACCCCCGUAGUCCCUGUCUCUUAUACC
This 301-nucleotide ribosomal RNA is filed under the name uncultured bacterium. RNAcentral's name for it is "partial 16S ribosomal RNA". It matches the Rfam family "Bacterial small subunit ribosomal RNA", at positions 509 to 808 of the family's 1533-position model. The record is from RNAcentral.